GAUUUCAACUGAAAAAGUCAUCAACAACAAAGUUGUAUAACUCACCAAAAUCUAUAACUUUUAUUUUGGUCAUUUUUUCAUCCGACAAAGUGAUAGUAACAUUGUUCACAAAAUUCACAUAUCUCUCAUCUAGUUUUAUAAACUAUAAUACAGAUAUGUAAAUUUUGUAAACAAUCUUACUAACACUUUAUCGGAUGAAGAAAUGUUAAAAAUAAAAGUUAUAGAUCUUGAUGAGUUAUACAACUUUGUUGUUGAUGAUUUUUUCAGUUGAAAUC
Molecule: microRNA precursor, 275 nt
Organism: Oryza sativa Japonica Group (Japanese rice)
Lineage: Eukaryota; Viridiplantae; Streptophyta; Magnoliopsida; Poales; Poaceae
Rfam family: MIR821 microRNA precursor family
Source: Rfam